AUUGAACGCUGGCGGCAUGCUUUACACAUGCAAGUCGAACGGCAGCGCGGUAGUGCUUGCGCUACUGCCGGGCAGACGGGUACGUAAGAGUUAUGUACCGGACCGUUCCGAGUGAUGGGGGAGAACCAAUCGAAAGAUAGGCCAAUACCGCACACGUCCUGAGGGAGAAAGCGGGUGGUAGCAAGACCUCGCGUGAUUCGGGCGGCCGAUAUCUGAUGAGCUUGUUGUGGGGGUAAAGGGCUACGAAGGCGACGAUCAGUAGCGGGUGUGAGAGGACGAGCAGCGACACGGGGAGUGGGACACGGACCAGACGCCUACGGGAGGCAGCAGUGGGGAAUGUUGGACAAUGGGGGAAAACCUGAUCCAGCGAGGCCGCGUGUGUGACGAAGGCCUUCGGGUUGUAAAGAACGUCUGUUGGGGAAGAAAAGGAAUGUGCUAAGACCACGCUUUGCUGACGGUACCUGCAGAAUAAGCACCGGCUAACUACGUG
This 490-nucleotide ribosomal RNA is filed under the name uncultured bacterium. RNAcentral's name for it is "partial 16S ribosomal RNA". It matches the Rfam family "Bacterial small subunit ribosomal RNA", at positions 29 to 507 of the family's 1533-position model. The record is from RNAcentral.